CCUACGGGUGGCAGCAGUGGGGAAUAUUGCACAAUGGGGGAAACCCUGAUGCAGCGACGCCGCGUGUGUGAAGAAGUAAUUCGUUAUGUAAAGUACUAUCAGCAGGGAAGAAAAUGACGGUACUUGUGUAAGAAGCCCCGGCUAACUACGUGCCAGCAGCCGCGGUAAUACGGAGGGGGCAAGCGUUAUCCGGAUUUACUGGGUGAAAAGGGAGCGUAGACGGCAGUGCAAGUCUGGAGUGAAAGGCGGGGGCUCAACCCGCGGACUGCACUGGAAACUGAACGGCUGGAGUGCAGGAGAGGUAAGUAGAAUUCCAAGUGUAGCGGUGAAAUGCGUAGAGAUUAGGAGGAACACCAGUGGCGAAGGCGGCUUACUGGACUAUAACUGACGUUGAGGCUCGAAAGCGUGGGGAGCAAACAGGAUUAGAUACCCGGGUAGUC
Molecule: ribosomal RNA, 440 nt
Filed under: uncultured bacterium
Lineage: Bacteria
Description: partial 16S ribosomal RNA
Rfam family: Bacterial small subunit ribosomal RNA
Source: RNAcentral